RNAcentral lists this ribosomal RNA (354 nucleotides) under uncultured bacterium. RNAcentral describes it as "bacterial SSU rRNA". It matches the Rfam family "Bacterial small subunit ribosomal RNA", at positions 8 to 350 of the family's 1533-position model. The record is from RNAcentral.
AGAGUUUGAUCAUGGCUCAGGAUGAACGCUAGCUACAGGCUUAACACAUGCAAGUCGAGGGGAAACGACAUCGAAAGCUUGCUUUUGAUGGGCGUCGACCGGCGCACGGGUGAGUAACGCGUAUCCAACCUGCCCAUCACUUGGGGAUAACCUUGCGAAAGUAAGACUAAUACCCAAUGAUAUCUCUAGAAGGCAUCUGAAAGAGAUUAAAGAUUUAUCGGUGAUGGAUGGGGAUGCGUCUGAUUAGCUUGGUUGGCGGGGUAACGCCCACAAAGCAACGAUCAGUAGGGGUUCUGAGAGGAACGGUCCCCCANAUUGGAACUGAGACACGGUCCAAACUCCGUACGGGAGGCA